GGAUGUGAUGGGGAGCGAAAUUUAGUAGCGAAGUAGCUGAUUUCACACUGUCAAGAAAAGUCUCUAUCGAGGUUAAAGGUACCCGUACCGCAAACCGACACAGGUGGGUGAGGAGAGUAUCCUAAGGCCAGCGAGAGAACUGUUGUUAAGGAACUCGGCAAAAUGACCCCGUAACUUAGGGAUAAGGGGUGCCACCAUCAGGUGGCCGCAGAGAAUAGGCCCAAGCGACUGUUUACCAAAAACAUAGGUUUCUGCUAAGUCGCAAGACGAUGUAUAGGAGCUGACGCCUGCCCGGUGCUGGA
Molecule: ribosomal RNA, 302 nt
Filed under: Clostridioides difficile
Lineage: Bacteria; Bacillati; Bacillota; Clostridia; Peptostreptococcales; Peptostreptococcaceae
Description: partial 23S ribosomal RNA
Rfam family: Bacterial large subunit ribosomal RNA
Source: RNAcentral